Molecule: long non-coding RNA, 489 nt
Filed under: Androctonus crassicauda
Lineage: Eukaryota; Metazoa; Arthropoda; Arachnida; Scorpiones; Buthidae
Source: RNAcentral
GCUUUUAUUGCUAGGGCUGUGUUAAUUUAGCUGUCUUUAUAUCUCUUUUGUGCUCGAUGAUUCUGUCUUUUAAGUUUCUACAAGUCGCCUCUACAUAGAUUUCGUGCUCCCCUGUAUCUAAGUUGGUUACUGGGAUCUGGUAAACACUGGUUCUAUUUUCUUCAUUUCUAUAGUCUUUAUGGUUUCUCAGUACGUCGAAAAUUGUAGGCGGCCUCUUGUACAUCAGUUUCUUGUUUUGCUUGUUUAGGACUGUUUUUAUCACUUUUGAUCUCCCUAAUGCCUCUGGAACUGGUUCAUAUGUCUUUGCUUGUUGCAUGUUGUUGCCUGCUGUUACCUAUUGCACUAUUGUUUGGGUUUCUUCUUGUUGGGGUGGUUUUUUUAGCUUUUUUAUCCAUUACUUCUGUCCAUAGUUUCUUAACGAGAGACGGUCUAAAUCCAUGGUUAACUGCUAUUCUCUGGAUUAUUUCUAGCUCUUCUUGUUUAGCCUCG